GAUGAAGAACGUAGCAAAAUGCGAUACUUGGUGUGAAUUGCAGAAUCCCGUGAACCAUCGAGUUUUUGAACGCAAGUUGCGCCCGAAACCAUCCGGUUGAGGGCACGCCUGCCUGGGUGUCACGCAUCGCGUCGUCCCCCAACAUACUCUCCCAUACUGGGUUGUCAUGUUGAUUGGGGACGGAGAUUGGCCUCCUGUGCUUCUGGUGCGGUUGGCCUAAAAUAGGAGGCCCCUUCGGUGGAUACACGGCUAGUGGUGGUUGUUAAGACCCUCGUAUUGUGCUGUGUGUUGUGAGCUGUUAGGGAAACCCUCACCAAAGACCCUAUUGUAUCGUCUUGGUACGAUGCUUCGACCGCGACCCCAGGUCAGGCGGGACUACCCGCUGAGUUUAAGCAUAUCAAUAAGCGGAGGA
Molecule: unclassified non-coding RNA, 412 nt
Filed under: soil metagenome
Description: partial contains 5.8S ribosomal RNA, internal transcribed spacer 2, and large subunit ribosomal RNA
Rfam family: 5.8S ribosomal RNA (bases 1-122)
Source: RNAcentral